Molecule: ribosomal RNA, 253 nt
Filed under: uncultured bacterium
Lineage: Bacteria
Description: partial 16S ribosomal RNA
Rfam family: Bacterial small subunit ribosomal RNA
Source: RNAcentral
UACGUAGGGGGCGAGCGUUGUCCGGAAUUAUUGGGCGUAAAGAGCGUGUAGGUGGUUCGGUAAGUCUGCCGUGAAAACCUGGGGCUCAACCCUGGGCGUGCGGUGGAUACUGCCGGGCUAGAGGGUGGUAGAGGCGAGUGGAAUUCCCGGUGUAGCGGUGAAAUGCGCAGAUAUCGGGAGGAACACCAGUAGCGAAGGCGGCUCGCUGGGCCAUUCCUGACGCUGAGACGCGAAAGCUAGGGGAGCGAACAGG